GUCGAUUUCUUCCCAAAGUUGUGCUGCAAACCGGUCCAAAUUAAAAACCCUCAAAAAGCAAGAAGCUGAAAAACCCUGAAUUUUGGCAAGCAUACAAAUUGGAACAAGAACCAGAGUGUUUUGUACAGAAAUGUUUCGAAGAAGAUUCCUCUCGUUUCCUUUGGUAAUUGGAGCAGCCGUGAUUGGAGUUGUUUCAGGCAAGGCAAUAUUUGGACCCCCACUUGAUGAGUACUGGAAAAAGAAGCAGCAGGAAGACGUGGCGGCAAAGGAGACUGAUGCAAGCUCAAAUUAACCAAUACUUUCUGGAACUUCUCAUGUUCGGUUGUUUUGUAGAGGAGUAUAGCGAUGGGAUGGGAAUUGGUUAUUAAUUCAUUUGUUCGCACUUAAACAGUAGGAUCACGGCAACAGCUACAGCUACAGGUACUUUUUUGAACGCGUUACGCAUGGGAUCUCGGACAUUUAUUGUGAUGGAAAACAGAAUACUAAACAGGAUUGGAAACCGAUAUCAUUGAACUAUCGAUCAUUAGUCUCGGCUCUUCAGGAUGGAAGAAUUCUGUAUAAGACCAGUGCCAUUGUCAGAGGAAAUUCAUUCUACUGGUUAACCAUUCCAUCCCUUCUCUGAGACGCCAUUGUGAUCGAGAGCUCAACGAUAUUGAUUUCCGAUCCUGUUACUAUUCCGUUUUCCAUCAUGUUGAAACUAUCACAGUGGAGGUACUCAAAACUAAGUACCUGCUGAAUUGUAUUUAAUUUGUAACAUUUCAAUAAAUACCUUUUUUUGAGCUUUGCUGAUAUAAA
Long non-coding RNA from Pyrus x bretschneideri (Chinese white pear), 795 nucleotides. RefSeq lists it as uncharacterized. The record is from RefSeq and is a predicted model, not a curated record. Lineage: Eukaryota; Viridiplantae; Streptophyta; Magnoliopsida; Rosales; Rosaceae. The transcript has 2 exons.